This 700-nucleotide ribosomal RNA is filed under the name uncultured bacterium. RNAcentral's name for it is "bacterial SSU rRNA". It matches the Rfam family "Bacterial small subunit ribosomal RNA", at positions 56 to 754 of the family's 1533-position model. The record is from RNAcentral.
UGCAGUCGAACGGUAACGCGGGGCAACCCGGCGACGAGUGGCGAACGGGUGAGUAAAGCAUCGGAACGUGCCCAGUAGUGGGGGAUAGCCCGGCGAAAGCCGGAUUAAUACCGCAUACGACCUACGGGUGAAAGGGGGGGAUCGCAAGACCUCUCGCUAUUGGAGCGGCCGAUGUCAGAUUAGGUAGUUGGUGGGGUAAAGGCCUACCAAGCCUGCGAUCUGUAGCUGGUCUGAGAGGACGACCAGCCACACUGGGACUGAGACACGGCCCAGACUCCUACGGGAGGCAGCAGUGGGGAAUUUUGGACAAUGGGCGCAAGCCUGAUCCAGCCAUGCCGCGUGCGGGAAGAAGGCCUUCGGGUUGUAAACCGCUUUUGUCAGGGAGGAAAAGCCUUGGGUUAAUACCCUGGGGUGAUGACGGUACCUGAAGAAUAAGCACCGGCUAACUACGUGCCAGCAGCCGCGGUAAUACGUAGGGUGCAAGCGUUAAUCGGAAUUACUGGGCGUAAAGCGUGCGCAGGCGGUUGUGCAAGACAGGUGUGAAAUCCCCGGGCUUAACCUGGGAACUGCACUUGUGACUGCACGGCUUGAGUGCGGCAGAGGGGGAUGGAAUUCCGCGUGUAGCAGUGAAAUGCGUAGAUAUGCGGAGGAACACCGAUGGCGAAGGCAAUCCCCUGGGCCUGCACUGACGCUCAUGCAC